AUUGAACGCUGGCGGCAGGCUUAACACAUGCAAGUCGAGCGGGGUGAUGGUGCUUGCACUAUCACUUAGCGGCGGACGGGUGAGUAAUGCUUAGGAAUCUGCCUAUUAGUGGGGGACAACAUCUCGAAAGGGAUGCUAAUACCGCAUACGUCCUACGGGAGAAAGCAGGGGAUCACUUAUGACCUUGCGCUAAUAGAUGAGCCUAAGUCGGAUUAGCUAGUUGGUGGGGUAAAGGCCUACCAAGGCGACGAUCUGUAGCGGGUCUGAGAGGAUGAUCCGCCACACUGGGACUGAGACACGGCCCAGACUCCUACGGGAGGCAGCAGUGGGGAAUAUUGGACGAUGGGGGGAACCCUGAUCCAGCCAUGCCGCGUGUGUGAAGAAGGCCUUAUGGUUGUAAAGCACUUUAAGCGAGGAGGAGGCUCUUUUGGUUAAUACCCAAGAUGAGUGGACGUUACUCGCAGAAUAAGCACCGGCUAACUCUGUGCCAGCCGCCGCGGUAA
This 503-nucleotide ribosomal RNA is filed under the name uncultured bacterium. RNAcentral describes it as "partial 16S ribosomal RNA". It matches the Rfam family "Bacterial small subunit ribosomal RNA", at positions 30 to 523 of the family's 1533-position model. The record is from RNAcentral.